Long non-coding RNA from Leopardus geoffroyi (Geoffroy's cat), 1660 nucleotides. RefSeq lists it as uncharacterized. The record is from RefSeq and is a predicted model, not a curated record. The transcript is spliced from 3 exons. NCBI's taxonomy places the organism in Eukaryota, Metazoa, Chordata, Mammalia, Carnivora, Felidae.
AGGACCAACCCGAAGAACAAAAUUGCAAAAGCCGAGAAACAGUCCCAGCGGCAAAGUAAUCAAGCAUGAGAAGUUGCAAAAUGUGAUGUUGUAUCCCGUCAGAGGCAGGGGCUGCCAUUGAGGUUGACCUUCUCCACAAGUGUUCACCGGAUGGUCCAUGACGACGAUGGUCACAGGGUAGAAAGGAUGGAAUUCUAUGAAUUUCUUGGUGCUCAGUUUCAACUCAGCAGGCAAGUCAUCUUCUCUCAGACGCUCCCAUCCCUCCGCUCCGUGGCGUUGCCAUAGUCUCGAGAGCGCUCGUGGCUCAUUCUGCGCCUUCAAGGGCUGAUAAGCAACCUGCCGGACCUCUCUGCUCCCAGAGUCAAAUAGGCCACUCGCACCUCUUUGCCUGUUGACCCAGUGGACUCUUGGCUGUGUCCCCAGCGUGCUCUCUUGCAAAUGUGUGCACAUGCCUCAUUCUGGAAGAUAUGAUUGCGAUGUGGGACCCUGUGUCUCUGUGCAGCUUCAUGCAUCUCCCAGCCAAGAAUGGGCAUGAGAAGCCGGGAAGACCCGAGUCUGAAUCCUGACUAUAUGAAUUUCUAGCUGCGUGACCUGGAUGGAGCUACUUAAUUUCUCUGAACGGCAGAUUCCUUUAUCUGGACAGCGGUGCUAAAACCCUUUCUUCCAGCGCGGGGGACUGUUAAAGAAAAUGCCCAAACGGUGUCUGGGUCCUAGUACACGUCAAAAACUUUUGUCUGAUCCAAGAAGUGGACUUAUAACCUUUCUCUCCUAACGUUUCAUGAAGUCAUCACGUGCUGGAUGUGCAGUCCUCAGGUAUGAUUUUCUCCCCAUUUUAGGGGGGCUUUUCCCCAACGCACUGUAUUUUCUACAUAAUUUUUGGAAGCGUUCGAAUAUAUGGUCAGUGUUAGUAAUCUCUUUCUCUCUCCCCUUUCUCUUAUGGCUGAUGACCUGGCCCGAGUCUUCACUUGGGAGUAAGGACCAGUGCUAAAGUUCUAAGCUACAGAAGUCUGCAAUCUGCGGUCGCCAGGCACGACCUAGCGCCGUUCUACUGUUGGCGUGACCCCCGUAAGACCAGAGGAUGCUGCGCUCUGGGCCUCGAAGGCACCAACGUGAAUCCCCACCCUGAUUCUUCCCAGGAGAAGCGAAGCGUGGAAAAUUAUAUUCAGCUGCAGGAGUUUUCAGCCUCACAUUCGGAAAGAGCAGAAGUUGCUAGAGGCUAUUUUCAGAGAACUCCUAAUAAGUACAGAACCCAAAUACAGACAUGGUUGUUAACACCCUGGGAAAUGCCAAAUCCGAGCUGGAUCGCAGCCAGCAGAGAAAUGGAAAGUCCUAGAUAGCUUAUCUCAGAGCCAAUCUGUAUUACGUGGGAGGCGCAAGAGGCAAUUGCACGGGAGGACACGAGCUCUCCUUCUAGGCUCUGCAUCAGCGCCUUGGACCGACAACAUCAAGGUGCAUCGGGCAUUUUCUGAAUCUGCGAGUAGGUCCCUUGUCUUGCCCUGUGUUCUAUCCUGUGCUUCCAGCCUUCUUCUCCUUCAACCCACCCAUUCUUCCUGACCCGUUUCAUUCAUUCCUGGGGCUUCAGGAACCUUCUCUCCCUCAACAAAUGACUCCUUGUGAUAGAUCUCCAGGCUUGAGUUUUUAAACAAGUUUAUUCUAUUUA